Trypanosoma cruzi is the source of this 88-nucleotide RNA transcript. It is a transcript of the gene named spliced leader RNA, 5' partial, with no coding region annotated. The transcript has a single exon. NCBI's taxonomy places the organism in Eukaryota, Euglenozoa, Kinetoplastea, Trypanosomatida, Trypanosomatidae. The record is from RefSeq and is a predicted model, not a curated record.
UUCUGUACUAUAUUGGUACGCCAAGCUUCCAACCCGCCUCUGGCGGUUAUGUUUGGUCAAUUUCUUUUGACCGGGGUCUACGGACCCC